Talpa occidentalis (Iberian mole) is the source of this 467-nucleotide long non-coding RNA. RefSeq lists it as uncharacterized. The record is from RefSeq and is a predicted model, not a curated record. NCBI's taxonomy places the organism in Eukaryota, Metazoa, Chordata, Mammalia, Eulipotyphla, Talpidae. The transcript is spliced from 3 exons.
AAGAGUCUGAAGCCCAAGAUCAUCCCUUCAGGAAAAGUAAGAGAAAAGAGCAAGCAUAUAUGAAUGGGUCUCAGUACUACAGCUUGUGAUGUUCAUAGUCAUGAGCAAAAAUUAAAGAUCUAAGCCUGUCUGGGUAUUUUCUUCUGAGCCUCACCAGCACUCUUGGAAGCAAUGCAACAGCAGGAAGCAACAUGCCCGAGUUUCAUCACUCACCAGGCAGGGAAGAAUAACAAUUUCCAGACGAAACAUUAUUUUGAAAUCACUUUGUGCUAAGAUUGCCAGAAGAAGCCAUGCCGACUUUGCAGUGAAAAAGCAAACACAUGACUCGUGUUGAGCAUAAUAGUCAGUCCUAGGAUCAGCAAUGAAUUAAAGGAUUCAAAUUCCAAACUGAUAGCUAACACACAAUAACUGUGCCUGUUAAAAUCAGUUCCCUGAUGCAGGGAACUGUUGUGGGUUUUUUUUUUCAU